This 149-nucleotide small nuclear RNA is filed under the name Mesocricetus auratus (golden hamster). Its description in RNAcentral is "U1 spliceosomal RNA (ENSMAUG00000004674.1)". It matches the Rfam family "U1 spliceosomal RNA". From Rfam's summary of the family: U1 is a small nuclear RNA (snRNA) component of the spliceosome (involved in pre-mRNA splicing). The record is from RNAcentral. Lineage: Eukaryota; Metazoa; Chordata; Mammalia; Rodentia; Cricetidae.
AAACUACCAACAGGGGAGAUACUGUGAUCGUGAAGGUGGUCUUCCCAGGUAAGGCACAUCACAGGCUGACCUCUGUGAUGACCCCAAAUGUGGAGAGCUUGGGCUGCUUAGUUUGUGUCAUAGUGGGAGACUUGGUCCCUGUCCCCCCU